RNAcentral lists this ribosomal RNA (539 nucleotides) under uncultured bacterium. RNAcentral describes it as "bacterial SSU rRNA". It matches the Rfam family "Bacterial small subunit ribosomal RNA", at positions 970 to 1509 of the family's 1533-position model. The record is from RNAcentral.
UUAACCUGGCCUUGACAUACUAAGAACUUUCCAGAGAUGGAUUGGUGCCUUCGGGAACUUAGAUACAGGCGCUGCAUGGCUGUCGUCAGCUCGUGUCGUGAGAUGUUGGGUUAAGUCCCGCAACGAGCGCAACCCUUUUCCUUAUUGCCAGCGGGUUAAGCCGGGAACUUUAAGGAUACUGCCAGUGACAAACUGGAGGAAGGCGGGGACGACGUCAAGUCAUCAUGGCCCUUACGGCCAGGGCUACACACGUGCUACAAUGGUCGGUACAAAGGGUUGCUACCUCGCGAGAGGAUGCUAAUCUCAAAAAGCCGAUCGUAGUCCGGAUCGCAGUCUGCAACUCGACUGCGUGAAGUCGGAAUCGCUAGUAAUCGCGGAUCAGAAUGCCGCGGUGAAUACGUUCCCGGGCCUUGUACACACCGCCCGUCACACCAUGGGAGUUUGUUGCACCAGAAGUAGGUAGUCUAACCGCAAGGAGGACGCUUACCACGGUGUGGCCGAUGACUGGGGUGAAGUCGUAACAAGGUAGGCGUAGAUGA